Molecule: unclassified non-coding RNA, 482 nt
Filed under: Hevea brasiliensis (rubber tree)
Lineage: Eukaryota; Viridiplantae; Streptophyta; Magnoliopsida; Malpighiales; Euphorbiaceae
Source: RNAcentral
AAAAAACAAAAAAAAAAAAAUUCAACAUCAAAUGUCAAUUAAAUCUUAUAAAACCCUUGCCACUGUAUUGUCCCAGCACUUCAAUCUCACUAGAAUAUCAUUUAAAUUACCUUGCAACAAUGAGUUGGAACAUUGUUUUGUUAAGUCAUAAAUAAUGCCUUUAUCACCAACCAAUGAGACUACACAAAAUGGGCCUUUCUUUAUGGGUCAGUCAACUGACAACAUUUAGCACAACUCCAAACUCCAAAAGCUUGUGAUAAUUUUGUCAACUUUCAUCUCAUGAUUCAUGAGCAUUUGACAUAUCUUGGAAUAAAUGUUGCUUGUAGUUACUCAACUUUGUAUGGAACUUCAAUGUGAUAACUAUACUUGAAGUUCAACUUUCAUUUACUGAGGCCUUUCAGGGAGUGUUUGAUCAAAUGCUGCCAGAAAUCAGAGGUGGAAACUUGUUGGAAAUCCACCUAAUGAUUUUAAAGCCUUACCAU